This 1072-nucleotide ribosomal RNA is filed under the name Vibrio crassostreae. RNAcentral describes it as "bacterial SSU rRNA". It matches the Rfam family "Bacterial small subunit ribosomal RNA", at positions 465 to 1533 of the family's 1533-position model. The record is from RNAcentral. Lineage: Bacteria; Pseudomonadati; Pseudomonadota; Gammaproteobacteria; Vibrionales; Vibrionaceae.
UCUCUUGACGUUAGCAACAGAAGAAGCACCGGCUAACUCCGUGCCAGCAGCCGCGGUAAUACGGAGGGUGCGAGCGUUAAUCGGAAUUACUGGGCGUAAAGCGCAUGCAGGUGGUUCAUUAAGUCAGAUGUGAAAGCCCGGGGCUCAACCUCGGAACUGCAUUUGAAACUGGUGAACUAGAGUACUGUAGAGGGGGGUAGAAUUUCAGGUGUAGCGGUGAAAUGCGUAGAGAUCUGAAGGAAUACCAGUGGCGAAGGCGGCCCCCUGGACAGAUACUGACACUCAGAUGCGAAAGCGUGGGGAGCAAACAGGAUUAGAUACCCUGGUAGUCCACGCCGUAAACGAUGUCUACUUGGAGGUUGUGGCCUUGAGCCGUGGCUUUCGGAGCUAACGCGUUAAGUAGACCGCCUGGGGAGUACGGUCGCAAGAUUAAAACUCAAAUGAAUUGACGGGGGCCCGCACAAGCGGUGGAGCAUGUGGUUUAAUUCGAUGCAACGCGAAGAACCUUACCUACUCUUGACAUCCAGAGAAGCCAGCGGAGACGCAGGUGUGCCUUCGGGAGCUCUGAGACAGGUGCUGCAUGGCUGUCGUCAGCUCGUGUUGUGAAAUGUUGGGUUAAGUCCCGCAACGAGCGCAACCCUUAUCCUUGUUUGCCAGCGAGUAAUGUCGGGAACUCCAGGGAGACUGCCGGUGAUAAACCGGAGGAAGGUGGGGACGACGUCAAGUCAUCAUGGCCCUUACGAGUAGGGCUACACACGUGCUACAAUGGCGCAUACAGAGGGCAGCAAGCUAGCGAUAGUGAGCGAAUCCCAAAAAGUGCGUCGUAGUCCGGAUUGGAGUCUGCAACUCGACUCCAUGAAGUCGGAAUCGCUAGUAAUCGUAGAUCAGAAUGCUACGGUGAAUACGUUCCCGGGCCUUGUACACACCGCCCGUCACACCAUGGGAGUGGGCUGCAAAAGAAGUGGGUAGUUUAACCUUUCGGGGAGGACGCUCACCACUUUGUGGUUCAUGACUGGGGUGAAGUCGUAACAAGGUAGCCCUAGGGGAACCUGGGGCUGGAUCACCUCCUUAU